UACGGAGGGGGCUAGCGUUGUUCGGAAUUACUGGGCGUAAAGCGCACGUAGGCGGCUUUGUAAGUUAGAGGUGAAAGCCCGGGGCUCAACUCCGGAAUUGCCUUUAAGACUGCAUCGCUAGAAUUGUGGAGAGGUAAGUGGAAUUCCGAGUGUAGAGGUGAAAUUCGUAGAUAUUCGGAAGAACACCAGUGGCGAAGGCGGCUUGCCAGAACGCGCUCGACGGGUGAGGGAUGAAAGCUGGGGGAGCAAACCGG
Molecule: ribosomal RNA, 254 nt
Filed under: uncultured bacterium
Lineage: Bacteria
Description: partial 16S ribosomal RNA
Rfam family: Bacterial small subunit ribosomal RNA
Source: RNAcentral